Molecule: small nuclear RNA, 124 nt
Organism: Callithrix jacchus (white-tufted-ear marmoset)
Lineage: Eukaryota; Metazoa; Chordata; Mammalia; Primates; Cebidae
Gene: U4
Rfam family: U4 spliceosomal RNA
About the family: U4 small nuclear RNA (U4 snRNA) is a component of the major U2-dependent spliceosome.
Source: Ensembl
AGCUUUGUGCAGGGGCAGCAUCGUAGCCCAUGAGGUUCAUCCGAGGCGUGAUUAUUGCUAAAAAAAAUAAAAUAAUAAAGAAAAGAAACCCCACACAUUUAUUAUAUCACAGUGACGUAGGUCA